GAAAAGAAACCAACAGGGAUUGCCUCAGUAACGGCGAGUGAAGCGGCAAAAGCUCAAAUUUGAAAUCCCCCGGGAAUUGUAAUUUGAAGAGAUUUGGGUCCGGCCGGCGGGGGUUAAGUCCACUGGAAAGUGGCGCCACAGAGGGUGACAGCCCCGUGAACCCCUUCAACGCCCUCAUCCCAGAUCUCCAAGAGUCGAGUUGUUUGGGAAUGCAGCUCUAAGUGGGUGGUAAAUUCCAUCUAAAGCUAAAUACCGGCGAGAGACCGAUAGCGAACAAGUACAGUGAUGGAAAGAUGAAAAGCACUUUGAAAAGAGAGUGAAAAAGUACGUGAAAUUGUUGAAAGGGAAGGGCUUGCAAGCAGACACUUAACUGGGCCAGCAUCGGGGCGGCGGGGAGCAAAACCACCGGGGAAUGUACCUUUCGAGGAUUAUAACCCCGGUCCUUACUCCCAUACUGCCCCGAGGCCUGCAAUCUAAGGAUGCUGGCGUAAUGGUUGCA
RNAcentral lists this ribosomal RNA (499 nucleotides) under uncultured Metschnikowia. RNAcentral's name for it is "LSU rRNA". It matches the Rfam family "Eukaryotic large subunit ribosomal RNA", at positions 56 to 642 of the family's 3401-position model. The record is from RNAcentral. Lineage: Eukaryota; Fungi; Ascomycota; Pichiomycetes; Serinales; Metschnikowiaceae.